GUCGAUUUAGUGGGGGCCUUUUGGCUUUUUUUUUUUUACCCCCCCCCCCUUUUUCCUUUUCCUAGUUCGGAAGCGGCGCCGUCUGUAAGGGCCGAAGUUAGGGUUAAGCCCCGCUCGCCCGCUACCUUCUCUCCGUGAGCAAAGGGAGCAGAUGGAAAACUCUGCGAAGGGCACAGAGCUCUGUGCGCCCUGCUGUCCGUGAGGAGGCGCUCGGGUGUUCUCGCCUGCGGCUCGCAUCGCACUGACCUGGAUUGGGCCGGGGCCUUCAGGAAGAGAAGACGCCACAUUGCUAGGCCCCCUGCACGCCGGUAGUUUGUCUUGGACCAAACUGGCCGGCUCAGAUGACUAUCUCAGUGUAACAGGGCAGCCGAGCAAAGUCCAUCCCCAGCCUCCCUCCACCUCUCUUCCAGCCCCGUUGACAGGACCUCUCUGCUCAUGCGCUGGGUGCUGUGUUCGGUGGCACUGCGAAAAGAAAAGAGACGCUCCGGCAGAAGGACUAUGUCAUGCGUACGUCAUGGAUGAAGGCAAGUAAGCUGGGGGCGGACAAGCACCGUUCAGCAGUUCCUGCACAGUGAGGCCAGUGCUCUUUGCUUCUCACCUGCAAUGACGCCACCGGCCAAGCCGCCGUGCUCAGCUGCCGCUUUGCUUUCCUGCGCCCAUAUUGCCUGGCUGCCACUGUAGCCCAGGGUGAAAGCUCUGGCCAAAUAAUAAUCUGUGGCUGCCUCUGCCAAGCAAACUCUGCUCUGCAACUCUGAACAGACGCCAGCACCUCCAGGACACCUGCCUCGUUCUUCUUUCAGUGCUUUGAUUCCUUGUGCUUGCGCUGCCUAUUGGGCUGCUCAAGUUAUACCAAAACACUGCCAGUGCCGACAGUCUGGACUUGCAUGUAAUUCAGAAACAGGUUUGUACGUCCAUCUGCUGACCCAUUUUUUUUCUCCAUCCUCAUAAUUAGCUAGACGGGCCUAGUUUCACUGCAUGUUUAACACAAAAUGUUUUUCAGUCAAGUCUAUUAUUUUCCAGAAAGAGAGCAUGUGUGUGAGCUGACAUGUAGAUGUAAAGGUGUGCAGCAGGGAAAGUUAAUGUCUCUGCACAGAUGGCGAGAAACACCCUACCAUUCAGCCAUGCAGAAGAUAUACUUGAUUACG
RNAcentral lists this long non-coding RNA (1145 nucleotides) under Struthio camelus australis. Its description in RNAcentral is "lncRNA (ENSSCUG00000011069.1)". The record is from RNAcentral. Lineage: Eukaryota; Metazoa; Chordata; Aves; Struthioniformes; Struthionidae.